AAGGUGGGGAUGACGUCAAGUCCUCAUGGCCUUUAUGACCAGGGCUACACACGUACUACAAUGGCCGGUACAAAGGGCAGCCACUUAGCGAUAAGGAGCCAAUCCCGUAAAGCCGGUCUCAGUCCGGAUUGGAGUCUGCAACUCGACUCCAUGAAGUUGGAAUCGCUAGUAAUCGCAGAUCAGCACGCUGCGGUGAAUACGUUCCCGGGUCUU
This 213-nucleotide ribosomal RNA is filed under the name uncultured Desulfocapsa sp. Its description in RNAcentral is "partial 16S ribosomal RNA". It matches the Rfam family "Bacterial small subunit ribosomal RNA", at positions 1170 to 1382 of the family's 1533-position model. The record is from RNAcentral. Lineage: Bacteria; Pseudomonadati; Thermodesulfobacteriota; Desulfobulbia; Desulfobulbales; Desulfocapsaceae.